Molecule: long non-coding RNA, 1774 nt
Filed under: Mytilus galloprovincialis (Mediterranean mussel)
Lineage: Eukaryota; Metazoa; Mollusca; Bivalvia; Mytilida; Mytilidae
Source: RNAcentral
UACAAAACUAACUGAUUCAAACAAAAUAUCUAAUGACAUCUAUAACAAAUUAAUGACAGAAAUUCUUGUUAUUAAGUGGAGGUAAGGGCCACCAAACCUUGUUAUUAAGUGGAGGUAAGGGGCCACCAAACAUAGUUCAGACAAAGGAUAAAUAAGGGACCAAUUCCUGACAAAAAUGCAGUGAGGUGAGCUUUUUUUAACUCCGGUGUUGAAGGCCUCACACUGACUUUGGAAUGAAGAUCACCCAUAUCCUUCUUUUCAAAUGAAGUGAAUUUCUCCUGGGUUCUAUUGUGUGUAAUGACAGAUAUUGUUAGUUGGCUGGUUGGUUAGUGGAUACAUCUGGAAUUACUUUGAAAUUAUCAAUUGCAGAACAUAAGCAACAAUGUGUAUUUCCAACUUUUUAAGAGGUAGAAAAAUAAAUACUUUUUUUAAGAAAACAUACAAAGAUGACACAGUAAUAACUGAUUUGAUGCAGGUAAUAGCCAGAAUUUUUUGUCAGUAACUAACAUUUUGAUGAAAGCUUUAUUUAUAGAAUAAAUAAAAAAGAAUUUUAGUCUAUAAAGUUUUUAUUGAUUGAUGGAUUGUUGUUUGUUAUAUAGAUAAGUACACCUUACAGAACUAACAAAUUCUGGACUAUGCCAAAUAAAUAACAAAGUGGUUUCUUGUGAAACUAACAGACAAAAUAACUAUUGAGCUACUAACAAAAGAAUAGGCACUCUGUGGAUGAUAUGUGUCUAUACAAAAGAAAAUGGACAGUUUGUAUGGCACAAAAAGGAAGACACUUCAACAAUAAGGAGAUUUGAACCAAUGAACAAAUUUAAAAUAUGUAUGCAAUUAAGUGACUUCCUUUUGUAGCAUGUAAACCCUGAAUAAGUACAAUACAGAUAAUUGAUUCAUUGUAUUAAGUUUUGUCAAUAAAUGGAGGACACAAAUAAAUAAGUCAUCUACAAAUAACAAAUAUCAUAAUAAAAUACAUCCAAACAUUCACAUUUAGAGAUCUUAGGGAUCUUAGAUUCCCUAAACCAUAAUUCUAAAAUUUCAACUAAUUCCUAUUUACCACUAUUUCUCAAAUCAUUAGAAAAAUUCAUCACACAAAUAUAAUGUUUUAUAUAACAAUGCUAUAGUUGACAAACUUACAGGAUUUGAAUGAGAAAACAUAUUGUUUUAUAUGAAGGAAAUAUUAUGCUUCAGUCUGGUUAGCCACUACAAGUCACCCUUUAUCUAGAUAUAGUUUAUUUAGGCAGUGGAAAAGGAGCAUACAUUUUAAGGUAAACAAAAGAUUUCUUAAAAUUUAUUUUCCAAGUAAAUGUGUUUGUCAAAAGGAUAAUACUGUAAACUGCAAUUUAAACUGUUAACUUAUUAGAUAUAGAAAGAUGUGUAGGAGACAAAUCUCCAUCCAACUCACAAUUUAUAAAAGUAAACCGUUUUAGACUUUUGAUAAUGCUAUGUUUUUUAACAGAACAGACAACAGAACUAAGAAACUGUGUAUGCACUAAAUGUGAAAAUCCAAUUUGAACUACAUUUUUAUAGUAGAAAAGCAUAGUAACAUAAAUUUACUAUUUAAAACCUUGUUUAUUUAUUUUGAGACAAAUACAAGACCAUUUCAGGACAGGAAUUGUGUCAAAAGUGAAAAUACAAUGUACAACAUUACAUGGUAGCUGUGUUGCAAAUGGUAAGAUCUCGCUGCAAUACUAUCUUAUGUAACUAUCCUUCAGACAGUCAGAUCUUAUGUAACUAUCCUUCAGACAGUCAGAUCUUAUGUAACUAUCCUUCA